RNAcentral lists this ribosomal RNA (254 nucleotides) under uncultured bacterium. Its description in RNAcentral is "partial 16S ribosomal RNA". It matches the Rfam family "Bacterial small subunit ribosomal RNA", at positions 524 to 776 of the family's 1533-position model. The record is from RNAcentral.
UACGGAGGGUGCAAGCGUUGUCCGGAUUUAUUGGGUUUAAAGGGUGCGUAGGCGGCUUUUUAAGUCAGUGGUGAAAUACAGCAGCUCAACUGUUGAGGUGCCAUUGAUACUGAGAGGCUUGAGUACAGAUGAGGUAGGCGGAAUUUAUGGUGUAGCGGUGAAAUGCAUAGAUACCAUAAAGAACACCGAUUGCGAAGGCAGCUUACUAAGCUGUAACUGACGCUGAGGCACGAAAAGCGUGGGGAGCGAACAGG